ACGUUGUCAAAAUGCAUGGGAAGACUGUCUUCCACAUGCAAUAGGCUGUUGUCUUUGGGCGUUUGUAUCAAACAUGGUGCUGGUGUGUUUCAGCACCCUUGUUGCUUCAGUGUUACAA
Haliotis rubra (blacklip abalone) is the source of this 118-nucleotide long non-coding RNA. RefSeq lists it as uncharacterized. The transcript has 3 exons. NCBI's taxonomy places the organism in Eukaryota, Metazoa, Mollusca, Gastropoda, Lepetellida, Haliotidae. The record is from RefSeq and is a predicted model, not a curated record.